Molecule: long non-coding RNA, 219 nt
Filed under: Solanum tuberosum (potato)
Lineage: Eukaryota; Viridiplantae; Streptophyta; Magnoliopsida; Solanales; Solanaceae
Description: long non-coding RNA (STUB_LNC000268)
Source: RNAcentral
CCCCAACUUAGAAACUUUGUUUGUCCUCAAGUAAAGAAAAUCAAAAACACAAGAGGCACUUAUUUCAAAACACACAACAAAUCAAUUUCCCUUUCUCAAUUAAGCACAAAGGUAAUGGCUUCGGUUGGUACUAACAAAUAGUCCACAUACAAACUUUUCACAAAAGAAAUCCUCUCAUUCUCAUGAAACAUUUUCAAAAACCAAGAAUCAUUUAAGUGA